This 506-nucleotide ribosomal RNA is filed under the name Pilidiophora sp. PHOTO_GAEZ_0069. Its description in RNAcentral is "partial 16S ribosomal RNA". It matches the Rfam family "Bacterial large subunit ribosomal RNA", at positions 1829 to 2597 of the family's 2925-position model. Lineage: Eukaryota; Metazoa; Nemertea; Pilidiophora. The record is from RNAcentral.
AGCCUGUUGUUUAUUUAUAAUAGGUAAUUUCUGCCCAGUGAGAAAUUUAACGGCCGCGGUACCCUGACCGUGCAAAGGUAGCAUAAUCACUUGCCUUUUAAUUGGGGGCUGGUAUGAAUGGAAAAACAUGUUUACAGCUGUCUCUUAGCUUAUACUUGGAAUUUCCUGUUUGUGUGAAGAAGCAUAAACGUUGCAGAGGGACAAGAAGACCCUGUCGAGCUUUACUGUUAGUUGUUUUAUUUUUAAGUAUAUAUAUAAAAAAUUGAGCACGAGUCAGUUUGGUUGGGGUGACCAGAAAAGAAAAAAUCUUUUCUUAAUGAAAGAUAGGCAUGUCUAAUGUAUAGAUCCAUUUUGUUUAUCUAAGGAAUAAGUUACCGCAGGGAUAACAGCGUAAUUUUUUUAGAGAGCUCUUAUCAAAAAAAAAGUUUGCGACCUCGAUGUUGACUUAUUAUCUCCUGUUGGGCGUAGUCGCUAGUAGGGUUGGUCUGUUCGACCAUUAAAAUAAU